GACGAACGCUGGCGGCGUGCUUAACACAUGCAAGUCGAACGGAAAGACCCUGAUUUUGUGGCGUGCUCGAGUGGCGAACGGGUGAGUAACACGUGAGUAACCUGCCCUUAACUUUGGGAUAACUUCAGGAAAAUGGGGCUAAUACCGGAUAGGAUCUCCUGAUGCAUAGUGGUGGUUGGAAAGUUUCGGCGGUUGUGGCUGGACUCGCGGCUUAUCCGCUUCUUGGUGGGGUUGUGGCUUACCAAGGUUGUGACGGGUAGCCCGCCUGAGAGGGUGACCGGGCACAUGGGGACUGAGAGACGGCGCAGACUCCUACGGGAGGCAGCAGUGGGGAAUAUUGCACAAUGGGCGGAAGCCUGAUACAGAAACGCCGCGUGCGUGAUGACGGCCUUUUGGUUGUAAACCGCUGUCGCCUGUGACGAAGCGUGAGUGACGGUAAUGGGUAAAGAAGCACCGGCUAACUACGUG
RNAcentral lists this ribosomal RNA (468 nucleotides) under uncultured bacterium. RNAcentral's name for it is "partial 16S ribosomal RNA". It matches the Rfam family "Bacterial small subunit ribosomal RNA", at positions 28 to 507 of the family's 1533-position model. The record is from RNAcentral.